CAUUGUUCUCAGGGCGGGGUGCGAUUCCCCACCGGCGGUAAAGGCAGCGAUGCCAAGCCCGCGAGCGCCCGGCGAAAGCCGGGGUCAGCAGAUCCGGUGUAACUCCGGAGCCGACGGUAUAGUCCGGAUGAAAGAGAACGGGA
This 143-nucleotide non-coding RNA is filed under the name Pelagibacterium sp. RNAcentral describes it as "FMN sequence". It matches the Rfam family "FMN riboswitch aptamer (RFN element)". From Rfam's summary of the family: The RFN element is a highly conserved domain that is found frequently in the 5'-untranslated regions of prokaryotic mRNAs that encode for flavin mononucleotide (FMN) biosynthesis and transport proteins. This element is a metabolite-dependent riboswitch that directly binds FMN in the absence of proteins. Lineage: Bacteria; Pseudomonadati; Pseudomonadota; Alphaproteobacteria; Hyphomicrobiales; Devosiaceae. The record is from RNAcentral.